AACGCGAAGAACCUUACCAAGGCUUGACAUACACCGGAAACGGCCAGAGAUGGUCGCCCCCUUGUGGUCGGUGUACAGGUGGUGCAUGGCUGUCGUCAGCUCGUGUCGUGAGAUGUUGGGUUAAGUCCCGCAACGAGCGCAACCCUUGUUCUGUGUUGCCAGCAUGCCCUUCGGGGUGAUGGGGACUCACAGGAGACUGCCGGGGUCAACUCGGAGGAAGGUGGGGACGACGUCAAGUCAUCAUGCCCCUUAUGUCUUGGGCUGCACACGUGCUACAAUGGCCGGUACAAAGAGCUGCGAAACCGUGAGGUGGAGCGAAUCUCAAAAAGCCGGUCUCAGUUCGGAUUGGGGUCUGCAACUCGACCCCAUGAAGUCGGAGUUGCUAGUAAUCGCACAUCAGCAUUGCUGCGGUGAAUACGUUCCCGGGCCUUGUACACACCG
RNAcentral lists this ribosomal RNA (441 nucleotides) under uncultured bacterium. Its description in RNAcentral is "bacterial SSU rRNA". It matches the Rfam family "Bacterial small subunit ribosomal RNA", at positions 958 to 1392 of the family's 1533-position model. The record is from RNAcentral.